GAUCCUGGCUCAGGAUGAACGCUGGCGGCGUGCCUAACACAUGCAAGUCGAACGGAGUCGUUUUGGAAAAUCCUUCGGGAUUGGAAUUCUCGACUUAGUGGCGGACGGGUGAGUAACGCGUGAGCAAUCUGCCUUUAAGAGGGGGAUAACAGUCGGAAACGGCUGCUAAUACCGCAUAAAGCAUCAAAUUCGCAUGUUUUUGAUGCCAAAGGAGCAAUCCGCUUUUAGAUGAGCUCGCGU
This 240-nucleotide ribosomal RNA is filed under the name uncultured bacterium. RNAcentral describes it as "partial 16S ribosomal RNA". It matches the Rfam family "Bacterial small subunit ribosomal RNA", at positions 15 to 236 of the family's 1533-position model. The record is from RNAcentral.